Molecule: ribosomal RNA, 261 nt
Filed under: uncultured archaeon
Lineage: Archaea
Description: partial 16S ribosomal RNA
Rfam family: Archaeal small subunit ribosomal RNA
Source: RNAcentral
CAGCCCUAAACGAUGCGCGUUAGGUGUAUCGGUGACCACGAGUCACCGAGGUGCCGAAGGGAAACCGUGAAACGUGCCGCCUGGGAAGUACGGUCGCAAGGCUGAAACUUAAAGGAAUUGGCGGGGGAGCACCACAACGGGUGGAGCCUACGGUUUAAUUGGACUCAACGCCGGGAAGCUCACCGGAUAAGACAGCGGAAUGAUUGCCGGGCUGAAGACCCUGCAUGACCAGCUGAGAGGAGGUGCAUGGCGUAGACGUCU